Molecule: long non-coding RNA, 388 nt
Organism: Mustela erminea (ermine)
Lineage: Eukaryota; Metazoa; Chordata; Mammalia; Carnivora; Mustelidae
Exons: 5
Source: RefSeq, a predicted model, not a curated record
GUGAAGCAACAGACAAAAGAUUUGCCUCUGAAAGAUUGUUCUGUUGUGGCAGCGAUCCUUCACCAUUGCAGUGAUGUGGAUUUAAAUGUACCGGAUUGUACAUCGAAGGUGAAUUUAUGAAAUAGAAAUGAACCUCAGGAGUCUAUUUUCAGAUGAUCAAGGGCAGACGUGAAGCACAGCCCACACUUGGCGAAUGGGACCCCUGGGGUGCGCUCCUGAGAAUGCUUAGAGCGGUGAAUGGAUGCUGGAUCAUCAUGGAGGUUGUUGUGAGAAGAAAGACUUGCAGUGAGGAAAUAUAUGAUAAUUAUCCAGGAAAAUGGCAUGAUUAUAAGCAGCCUCCAGCCUGGAGUCAACAUCCUGUGAACAAGUGUUCCAAAGACCCAAUAGG